UGGUAGGAAAAUCCGCCAUGCAAUGGGAAGACGUGAUGUGGAGCGAAAUAUAGUAGUGAAGCCCAUGAGCCAUGCGUCAAGAAAAGCCGCUAUUGUUUAUAUUGUACCCGUACCGUAAACCGACACAGGUGGAUGAGGAGAGAAUCCUAAGGCCGGCGGAAGAAGCUGCCAAGGAACUCGGCAAAAUGGCCCCGUAACUUAGGGAGAAGGGGUGCCUGCGAGAGCAGGCCGCAGAGAAUAGGCUCAAGCAGCUGUUUAGCAAAAACACAGGUCUAUGCGAAACCGAAAGGUGAGGUAUAUGGGCUGACGCCUGCCCGGUGCUGGAAGGUUAAGAGGAGAGGUCAGACGCAAGUCGAAGCUUUGAAUUUAAGCCCCAGUAAACGGCGGCCGUAACUAUAACGGUCCUAAGGUAGCGAAAUUCAUUGUCGGGUAAGUUCCGACCCGCACGAAAGGCGUAAUGAUUUGAGCGCUGUCUCGGCAAUACAUCCGGUGAAAUUGAAGUGCCAGUGAAGAUGCUGGCUACCCGCGCCAGGACGGAAAGACCCCAUGGAGCUUUACUCCAGUUUGGCACUGGGGUCCGGUGUUGCAUGUACAGGAUAGGUGGGAGGCUGAGAAACGGUAACGUCAGUUGCCGCGGAGCCGCUGUUGGGAUACCACCCUUGUGAUAUUGGGCUUCUAACCAGCCGCCGUGAUCCGGCGGUGGGACAAUGCCAGGCGGGGAGUUUGACUGGGGCGGUCGCCUCCGAAAGGGUAUCGGAGGCGCCCAAAGGUUCCCUCAGAAUGGACGGAAACCAUUCGAAGAGUGCAAAGGCAGAAGGGAGCUUGACUGCGACACCGACGGGUGGAGCAGGUACGAAAGUAGGGCUUAGUGAUCCGGUGGUAUUAAGUGGGGAUGCCAUCGCUCAACGGAUAAAAGCUACCCUGGGAUAACAGGCUUAUCACUCCCAAGAGUUCACAUCGACGGAGUGGUUUGGCACCUCGAUGUCGGCUCAUCGCAUCCUGGGGCUGUAGUAGGUCCCAAGGGUUGGGCUGUUCGCCCAUUAAAGCGGUACGCGAGCUGGGUUCAGAACGUCGUGAGACAGUUCGGUCCCUAUCCGGCGUGGGCGCAGGAUAUCUGAGAGGAGCUGUCCUUAGUACGAGAGGACCGGGAUGGACGGACCGCUGGUGGACCGGUUGGCUUGCCAAAGCCAUGGCCGGGUAGCCAAGUCCGGAAGGGAUAAACGCUGAAGGCAUCUAAGCGUGAAGCCCCCCCUCAAGAUGAGAUAUCCCAUUCUUAUGAAGUAAACCCCCUUGAAGACGACGAGGUAGAUAGGGCAGAGGUGGAAGUGCAGUAAUGCGUGGAGCUGACUGUUACUAAUCGGGUGAGGGCUUGAUC
RNAcentral lists this ribosomal RNA (1375 nucleotides) under metagenome. Its description in RNAcentral is "bacterial LSU rRNA". It matches the Rfam family "Bacterial large subunit ribosomal RNA", at positions 1530 to 2925 of the family's 2925-position model. The record is from RNAcentral.